This 4098-nucleotide unclassified non-coding RNA is filed under the name Hevea brasiliensis (rubber tree). The record is from RNAcentral. Lineage: Eukaryota; Viridiplantae; Streptophyta; Magnoliopsida; Malpighiales; Euphorbiaceae.
GGGCCAACCAUGAAGUCUUGGGUCUUGCUUUUGUUCCUCUGCGAAAUGAUCAUCUGCUACGAGCGAAAGAAAACCUUGUGUUUGUAAGUGCCCGUUUGGGAUUCCCUAAUUUCUUUUAUUUAUAUUAAUUGUUUCCUUUGAUAGUCCUGCAAUUCUGCUAUUCACAGUCUAUAAUGUGUUUACGGAAGCCUUUUGUUAUCACUUUCUAUGGCUUCCGCUUCUUCCGCCCCUCCUCAGGUGAGUGCUCCCGAGUAUAAGGAUGAUGUUUUCAUUAGUUUUAGAGGCAACAUCCGAAACAAAUUCGUAGAUCAUCUUUAUACUGCCUUGACAGAAAAGAAUCCGUACCUUCAUGGAUAGAGAUCUUGACAGAGGAGUCGAGAUCUCACCAACCCUUUUGGAAAUUAUUGAACAAUCAAGAAUUUUAGUGCCCAUUUUCUCGGAAUACUAUGCUGAUUCUUCAUCGUGUUUGGAAGAGCUUGCAAAGAUAUCGGAAUGCUAUCAAGCGAGGAGACAGAUAGUUUUACCGGUUUUUUACGAAGUGGAUCCAACAGACGUUCGAGAGCAGAGAGGGAGCUGUAGGGUAGCUUUUGAUAAGCAUAGAGAAAAUUUCAGGAACUACUUAGCCAUGGUUGAGGGCUGGAGCAAAGCUUUAACGGAAAUAGCCCAGAUUGCAGCGUGGGAUUCGCGGAAUAGAUCUGAAGCCGAAUUAGUUGAUGAAAUUGUGAAUGACAUUUGGAAGAAGUUAAAUGAUUUGCAUCCAAGUGAUUCUCAUGACAAUGGAUUUAUUGGAAUUGAUUCAAAAGUUAAGGAAAUUGUGUCGUUGUUAGGUAAAGAAUCAUCCAAUGUGAUAGGCAUUUGGGGAAUGGUUGGUAUUGGUAAAACAACUCUUGUUGACGAAGAAUUUCGUCACAUCUCUGCUGAAUUUGAUGGUCGAUGUUUUGUUCCAAUGUUGGCAAAAGAUUAGAAACUUGUCAACCAUUCUAUUUACGAGAUGAAAUUAUUUGUAAUAUAUUGGGGGAAGAAAAGUUAAAUGUAGGUACACCCUACUCGAUAAACUCUUCUAUUAGGAGAAGGCUUCAGAGGAAAAAAAGUGCUUAUUGUGCUUGAUGACAUAAGAAGUUCAGAGCAAUUAGAAUAUUUUGUAAGAGGGUGUAAUCUUCUUGGUCCAGGAAGUCAAAUCAUUGUAACAAGCAGGGAUAGACAAGUGCUUAAGAAUUGUUGUACUGAGGGAUGCAUAUAUGAGGUCAAGAAGUUGACUGAUUGUGAAGCUCUCAAGCUCUUUAGCCUGCAUGCCUUCAAGCAAAUUCAUCCUAUGAAAGGGUAAUUGGAGCUAUCAAAAAUGGUGGUAAGCUAUGCUCAAGGACUUCCAUUAGCUCUUAGAGUUUUAGGUUCCCAUCUAUUUGGAAAGAAAACAGAGUAUGGGAAAUUGCAUUGGAAGAACUGCAAAAUACUGGUAACAAUGAAAUUCAGAAAGUUUUAAGGAUAAGUUAUGAUGGUCUAGAUGAAACCAAAAAGAAAAUCUUUCUUCACAUUGCAUGUUUCUUCACUGGUGAAGAUAGCAAUUAUGUAGAGGAUGUGCUGGAUGCUUGUGGGUUUUUUACAAAAGCUGGAAUAGAUAGUCUCAUGAUAAAUCUAUCAUAAAUGUUGAGGAUGGCAGGUUAGAGAUGCAUGAUUUGAUGGAGCAAAUGGGUAAAAAUAUUGUUUGUCAGGAAAGUCAACUCCUUGAAGAACGCACUAGAUUGUGGAAUCAUGAAGAUAUAUGUCGUGUUGAAAAUUAAUUUGGGGACCCCAAAAAUUGAAGGCAUUUCACUAGAUAUGUCCAGAAUUAAAGAUUUGGAAUUAAGUUCUGCGACCUUUGCAAGGAUGCAAAAUCUUAAAUUUCUUAAAUUUUAUAAUCAUUGGACAGAAAAAAGCAUAAUAGACAUUCCGGAGGGCCUUGAUUAUCUUCCUGGAAGCUUAAGAAUUCUCCAUUGGGAUGAAUAACCAUUGCAAUCUUUGCCAUCGAAUUUUUGUCCUCGAAAUCUUGUUCAACUACAUAUGCCUCGUAGUCGAAUAAAACAACUUUGGAGUGGAGUUGAGGUAUAUCUUAUUCUCUUAAUAAUAAAACAUAGGGUACCUCUUAAUGCUCACAUGUACUAAUUUUUUUCUUACAUGUUCUUUUAAUUACAGCCUCUUGAUAAGUUGAAAUUCAUUAACUUAAGCUAUUGCUUGGAUCUAAUUGAAUUUCCAGACUUAUCUAGAGCCCCAAAUCUUGAGGUUCUAAAUCUCGAAAGUUGUAUAAGUUUGUUUAAGGUUCCGCAAUCUAUUCAAUAUCUGAGGAAGCUUACUUUUUUUAAUUUAAAUGACUGCAAAGAACUCCGUAGUCUUCCAAGCAUUCCUUCCACAAAUCUUGAAGUUUUGUGUCUCAGGAAUUGCUCAAAAAUCAGAGACUUUCCAGAGAUAUCACGGAAUUUAAAACGGCUAGUAUUAAGUGGGUGCCCUCAUCAAUCGGAUUUUGCUCUCAGCUUCAAUAACUGUGGUUGGAUUCUUGCACAGGGCUUGAGAGUCUCCCAGACAGCAUUGGUGAAUUGAAACAUCUCCAGCUGCUUUACCUCGAGGGAUGCUCAAAACUCGUAACCCUUCCAGACAGUAUCUGCAAUCUGUAGUAUCUUGAAGUCCUGAUAAUCAGUAGUUGUGUAAACCUCAUCGGCUUUCCAGAGAACUUUGGGAACCUUAAAUGUUUGAAGAGAUUUUAUGCAGUUAAAAGUGGUAUUAGAAGACUGCCCUCCUCCAUCAGUCAGUUGAGCCAACUUGAAUAUGUUGAUUGUAGUGGAUGCCAGGAAUUGGAAUUGUGUUCUUUCACAGGUUUGACCUCUCUGAGUAAAUUAGUUCUGAAUAAUUGUGGUAUAUUUCAAAUUCCCGAUGACCUGGGCUCUUUAGCAUCAAUGAUAGAGUUGCAUUUAAGUGGGAAUAAUUUUGAGAUCCUACCUGCAAGUAUCAAACAACUUCCUAAGUUAGCUGUACUUGUUCUAAGAGAUUGCAAGAGACUUCAACUGGAACAUUUAGAUGUGCGGGGCUGCAUGUCUCUGAGAUCACUAGCUGGGUUAUUCACAGAAGGUCAGAAAAAGUAUAGAGCUGUUCUGGAGUGGUUUGAUUUUUGUAAUUGCAUGAAAUUGGAUCAGAGUGCGUGCAGUAAGAUUAUGGAUGACGCUCGGCUAAGAAUUCAAUGCAUGGCUACAUCUCUGGUUGGUCAGGUCUGCCGCUUUACCCCUCGCUGUUUUUCUCUCUUUCAGGUACUACAAAACCUUAUUUUUCAUGCUACAGGAACUUAUGGUGAGGAAUCAGAUGAAACUCUGGAAUCAGAAGAGUUCUACAAGUACGAUGAGGAGAUAUCUGAUGAACAAGUUUCAUUUGGAAAUCUAGCUAAUUUCUGUAUCCCUGGAGAGGAAUCCCACUUUGGUUCAGUUGCCAAAAUAUUGGGUCGUCAUUAUUGUUGACAGAUUUGCGACAUUGCGACAGAAGGAUGUUCAUGGGUUUUGCUUUCUGUGCAGUUGUUGUGUGCUAUGGUUGUGAUUCUUGUGUUUUCGACAUUAGAUGUCGCUGUCAUUUCAUAACCAAGUCUGGACGUAGGUGUGUGCGCAAUUCUUACUGCGGGUUUAAUCGAGUUAACAUGAAAGAGGUCGACCUGCCCCUUCAAUCAGAACAUACAUUUCUGUGUUAUGAUUCAAGUAUCUACAGGUCUGCAAGCCCUUCUGACAAGGCCUUAUUUGAAUUCCACCCCAUUCAUAGGAAUGAAAGGCGCAUACACAGAUGUGAUGUGAUUAAGUGUGGUAUCCACUUACUGUUUGCCGGAUAUGAAAUCGAGAGGAAGGAGUGCGGGAACCAGCACUUAAAAGAUUACAGUGCAACGCCUUUGUGUGUGAUAUCAUUUGCUGAAAUUUUGCCUAUUUGCUUUCAAGGCCAAUCUAGGCAUUCAAAAUUUCUGGCUGUCUUAUUGUUGGUUAAACCUAACCAAAGCGAAUGGAUUCUCAUUUGCCUCUGGCAAUCGUAAAUUAUUAUAUAUUCAAGUUGUUGGAUUUAUAGUGAGCUUGAAUAGGAGCUCUAGAUCAUCCUCUAAAA